CCGCGUGUGUGAUGAAGGUCUUCGGGUUGUAAAGCACUUUCAGUUGUGAGGAAAGGGUGUAAUUUAAUAAAUUAUAUCUGUGACGUUAACAACAGAAGAAGCACCGGCUAACUUCGUGCCAGCAGCCGCGGUAAUACGAGGGGUGCAAGCGUUAAUCGGAAUUACUGGGCGUAAAGCGUUCGUAGGCGGUUAUUUAAGCAAGAUGUGAAAGCCCAGGGCUCAACCUUGGAACUGCAUUUUGAACUGGGUAACUAGAGUACUGUAGAGGGUGGUGGAAUUUCCAGUGUAGCGGUGAAAUGCGUAGAGAUUGGAAGGAACAUCAGUGGCGAAGGCGGCCACCUGGACAGAUACUGACGCUGAGGAACGAAAGCGUGGGGAGCGAACAGGAUUAGAUACCCUGGUAGUCCACGCCGUAAACGAUGUCAACUAGCCGUUCGUAGACUUGAUCCGUGAGUGGCGCAGCUAACGCACUAAGUUGACCGCCUGGGGAGUACGGCCGCAAGGUUAAAACUCAAAUGAAUUGACGGGGGCCCGCACAAGCGGUGGAGCAUGUGGUUUAAUUCGAUGCAACGCGAAGAACCUUACCAUCCCUUGACAUCCUCAGAAGCCAGUAGAGAUACAGGCGUGCCUUCGGGAACUGAGUGACAGGUGCUGCAUGGCUGUCGUCAGCUCGUGUUGUGAAAUGUUGGGUUAAGUCCCGCAACGAGCGCAACCCCUAUCCUUAUUUGCCAGCGCGUUAUGGCGGGAACUCUAACGAGACUGCCGGUGAUAAACCGGAGAGUGGGACGACGUCAGUCAUCAUGGCCCUUACGGAUGGGCUACACACGUGCUACAUGGCAGGUACAGAGGGCAGCAAUACCGCGAGGUUGAGCGAAUCUCACAAAGCUUGUCGUAG
RNAcentral lists this ribosomal RNA (895 nucleotides) under uncultured bacterium. Its description in RNAcentral is "bacterial SSU rRNA". It matches the Rfam family "Bacterial small subunit ribosomal RNA", at positions 397 to 1291 of the family's 1533-position model. The record is from RNAcentral.